UAAGAGAAGAAAAUAAGUGCAACAUGCCAGAAAUCCAGUAAAGCAGUUCAAGUAUCAGAAGAGCGUGAAUCAAAACCAAGUGCAAGAAGAGGCACCUUGACAUUGAACUGAAGGCCACCAGGUACUCACUGGGUCAAUGACUCUUCUCAUUUUUAUGUCUCCUGCCAGUGCUUCCAAUCGCUGAACUGAACUGGGAACAAAUCAACAAGGGAAACCAAGAGAUGCAUUCCUUGAAGUUCAG
This 241-nucleotide long non-coding RNA is filed under the name Homo sapiens (human). RNAcentral's name for it is "non-protein coding lnc-HSF2-4:1". Lineage: Eukaryota; Metazoa; Chordata; Mammalia; Primates; Hominidae. The record is from RNAcentral.